RNAcentral lists this ribosomal RNA (264 nucleotides) under uncultured bacterium. RNAcentral describes it as "partial 16S ribosomal RNA". It matches the Rfam family "Bacterial small subunit ribosomal RNA", at positions 98 to 354 of the family's 1533-position model. The record is from RNAcentral.
CGGGACGGGUGAGGUAACACGUGAGCAACCUGCCUUUCGUAGGGGGACGAACAGCCGGAAACGGACUGCUAAUACCGCAUAACGUAUUUUUGUACGGCAUCGUUGAAAUACCAAAGGAAGCAAUCCGCCGAAAGAUGGGCUCGCGUCUGAUUAGAUAGUUGGUGAGGUAACGGCUCACCAAGUCGACGAUCAGUAGCCGGACUGAGAGGUUGAACGGCCACAUUGGGACUGAGACACGGCCCAGACUCCUACGGGAGGCAGCAG